AGUGAACGCUGGCGGUAGGCCUAACACAUGCAAGUCGAACGGCAGCACAGUAAGAGCUUGCUCUUACGGGUGGCGAGUGGCGGACGGGUGAGGAAUACAUCGGAAUCUACUUUUUCGUGGGGGAUAACGUAAGGAAACUUACGCUAAUACCGCAUACGACCUACGGGUGAAAGCAGGGGAUCUUCGGACCUUGCGCGAUUGAAUGAGCCGAUGGCGGAUUAGCUAGUUGGCGGGGUAAAGGCCCACCAAGGCGACGAUCCGUAGCUGGUCUGAGAGGAUGAUCAGCCACACUGGAACUGAGACACGGUCCAGACUCCUACGGGAGGCAGCAGUGGGGAAUAUUGGACAAUGGGCGCAAGCCUGAUCCAGCCAUACCGCGUGGGUGAAGAAGGCCUUCGGGUUGUAAAGCCCUUUUGUUGGGAAAGAAAAGCAGCAGGUUAAUACCCCGCUGUUCUGACGGUACCCAAAGAAUAAGCACCGGCUAACUUCGUG
This 492-nucleotide ribosomal RNA is filed under the name uncultured bacterium. RNAcentral describes it as "partial 16S ribosomal RNA". It matches the Rfam family "Bacterial small subunit ribosomal RNA", at positions 29 to 507 of the family's 1533-position model. The record is from RNAcentral.